GACGAACGCUGGCGGUGUGCCUCACACAUGCAAGUCGAACGGGGUAGCAAUACCCAGUGGCGGACGGGUGAGUAACACGUGGGAAUCUGCCCUCAAGUGGUGAAUAACUGGCCGAAAGGCUAGCUAAUGUGCCAUACGUCGCAAGAUGAAAGUAGCAAUACGCUCGAGGAUGAGCCCGCGUCCGAUUAGCUAGUUGGUAGGGUAAAGGCCUACCAAGGCAUCGAUCGGUAGCUGGUCUGAGAGGAUGAUCAGCCACAAUGGGACUGAGAC
This 270-nucleotide ribosomal RNA is filed under the name uncultured bacterium. Its description in RNAcentral is "partial 16S ribosomal RNA". It matches the Rfam family "Bacterial small subunit ribosomal RNA", at positions 28 to 325 of the family's 1533-position model. The record is from RNAcentral.